RNAcentral lists this ribosomal RNA (253 nucleotides) under uncultured bacterium. RNAcentral describes it as "partial 16S ribosomal RNA". It matches the Rfam family "Bacterial small subunit ribosomal RNA", at positions 524 to 776 of the family's 1533-position model. The record is from RNAcentral.
UACGGAGGGUGCGAGCGUUGUCCGGAAUCACUGGGCGUAAAGGGCGCGUAGGCGGUACUUCAAGUCAGGCGUGAAAGCCCCGGGCUCAACCUGGGAACCGCGCUUGAGACUGGAGAACUAGAGUUCGGGAGAGGAUGGUGGAAUUCCCAGUGUAGAGGUGAAAUUCGUAGAUAUUGGGAAGAACACCGGUGGCGAAGGCGGCAUCCUGGACCAACACUGACGCUGAGGAGCGAAAGCCAGGGGAGCAAACGGG